CAGCAAGUGGUGGCCUCCAGAACUGGUUGUGACAGCCAGGUACAUCCUCCAGGAAGGGGGGGAUGUCUGCAGCAACCGCUGAUUCUCUGCCUGUGGAAACGCUGGCUCCAAUUCACAGAUUUUCCUAUUCUAUUCAAAAUAGACCAUGACAACAAUAAAGACCUCAACAUGUUAUCCACAGCCAUGUAAAUCCUGCAAAGUAAGCUCUCACACAGUAUUGGAGUGAAACUAGAAACCACCAGCAGAAACA
Molecule: long non-coding RNA, 250 nt
Filed under: Cavia porcellus (domestic guinea pig)
Lineage: Eukaryota; Metazoa; Chordata; Mammalia; Rodentia; Caviidae
Description: lncRNA (ENSCPOG00000030868.1)
Source: RNAcentral